Molecule: ribosomal RNA, 429 nt
Filed under: Chloroflexota bacterium
Lineage: Bacteria; Bacillati; Chloroflexota
Description: Chloroflexi bacterium partial 16S ribosomal RNA
Rfam family: Bacterial small subunit ribosomal RNA
Source: RNAcentral
UGGGGAAUAUUGCACAAUGGGCGCAAGCCUGAUGCAGCCAUGCCGCGUGUGUGAAGAAGGCCUUCGGGUUGUAAAGCACUUUCAGCGGGGAGGAAGGCGUUAAGGUUAAUAACCUUGGCGAUUGACGUUACCCGCAGAAGGAGCACCGGCUAACUCCGUGCCAGCAGCCGCGGUAAUACGGAGGGUGCAAGCGUUAAUCGGAAUUACUGGGCGUAAAGCGCACGCAGGCGGUCUGUCAAGUCGGAUGUGAAAUCCCCGGGCUCAACCUGGGAACUGCAUUCGAAACUGGCAGGCUAGAGUCAUGUAGAGGGGGGUAGAAUUCCAGGUGUAGCGGUGAAAUGCGUAGAGAUCUGGAGGAAUACCGGUGGCGAAGGCGGCCCCCUGGACAAAGACUGACGCUCAGGUGCGAAAGCGUGGGGAGCAAACAGG